AUGCUUUCCACGGGACCUGCAGUCCAGCAGCACUCCAGUGUCUUGAUCUGCAAGUUAUCUCCAAGGAAAUCCCAUGGGACACAUCUCAUGACAUGGGGACACUUCAGUCAUUCCCAUAAGCUCAGAUCCUUCCAAGCAACUCAGAGGAAGCAAAGCUCCCAAAAAGGUCCCUGCUCAUCUCUUCAAGCAGACACUGCAGAGAGAGAGCAGCAGCUCAUCAAGCCAUAAUGUCAAGAAAGGAAAUGAACUAAACUAAUUCUCUUUUCCUUUUGCUAGCCCCAGCAUUUAAUUUUUGACUUUUAGAGUCUAAACAUAGCAACAUGGCAGUGAACAGAAGGCUCCCUAAAUCUUAGGGAAUAUCUAUUCUUGUAUUUAAAGCCUGAAGGAAAUAGAAUGCCUAUUCUGAAUAUCUUCAAAGUAAAUCAACAACUAAGCACGAUUCCUAUCCUAGUGCUGUUGAAAUGAGAAGCUAGAUUCACAAAAUGUUACACUAUGGAAAUCUAGAGUAAGAGUGCAUUAAAUCUGAGUCUUGCCCAGUACACUGUCACUUUUCUGUCAGAUUCCCAUCCCAACCUUUUUUUUAUACUGUUCAUUUCAAAUGUAGCUCCCCUAUAUCUUUUGGCUAGGAAAUGAAUAUAUGCAAGACCCCAGACCUCAUGAUUCCAGCAGCAUGAGGGAGCAGCACAUUUAAAAGCAUAUUUAUCAUUUCAAGGAAGCCAUUCCAGGUUGCUUUUUCAAAGAGUGAUUGAAAGCAGUUUAGGAAAUGUAGAACACUAAAAUAAGAUGAAGAUAGAGACACAACUAUUGGUAUGGUCUCAGAUUUUUUCAAGAAUAUCAGGAUACUUGUGUAUAUGACAGUAAUUUCCACCAAGUGUAAUUUCAAAUCAAAAUUCUUGGUUUUCUUCAAGUAAUGCAGCAAAAAGUUAUCAAGUGGCACAUUACAGGGUUAAUAAAGCACUGGCUGUUGUUCA
This 971-nucleotide long non-coding RNA is filed under the name Chloebia gouldiae (Gouldian finch). RNAcentral's name for it is "Erythrura gouldiae (Gouldian finch) lncRNA (ENSEGOG00005006703.1)". The record is from RNAcentral. Lineage: Eukaryota; Metazoa; Chordata; Aves; Passeriformes; Passeridae.